This 307-nucleotide ribosomal RNA is filed under the name Nothrus silvestris. RNAcentral describes it as "eukaryotic LSU rRNA". It matches the Rfam family "Eukaryotic large subunit ribosomal RNA", at positions 666 to 944 of the family's 3401-position model. The record is from RNAcentral. Lineage: Eukaryota; Metazoa; Arthropoda; Arachnida; Sarcoptiformes; Nothridae.
CCAAGGAGUUUAACAUGUGCGCGAGUCACUCGGUCUUGAAUAGGCCAGAGAGGCGCAAUGAAAGUAAAGUUGAUUGAGUUACGAUCCUCAUCCACGUCUUCGGACGGUGGGGCGCAGUAACAGCCCGCCAAUUUCGCUUUUUGACGAUAUGGCGGAGUUAUAGCGUACACGUUGGUACCCGAAAGAUGGUGAACUAUGCCUGGGCAAGACGAAGCCAGAGGAAACUCUGGUGGAGGUCUGUAGCGAUUCUGACGUGCAAAUCGAUCGUCCGACCUGGGUAUAGGGGCGAAAGACUAAUCGAACCAUC